AUGACCACGCACCACCGAGCAGCAGCGGCGGCAGCAGCAUUUCCCCUCCACUCGCCGGGCUCCUCCACCGGCUCCGCCGACUCCGUGCCGUGGAGCAGCUGCCGCCACCACGCCCCGGCCACGCCGCCCCCGCCGCCGUUCGACACUAACGACGCCGACGAGAAGCUCCCGCGCAACAUGCUCUCCCAGCACCAGGACGGCUCCGCACACGGGACAGCGGCGGCGCCGCUGAAGCAGGAGCCCACCGACGCCGGGGUGGACGCCGGGCGCGCGUUCCGCGGCGUGCGGAAGCGGCCUUGGGGCAAGUACGCGGCGGAGAUCCGGGACUCGACGCGGAACGGCGUGAGGGUGUGGCUGGGCACGUUCGAGAGCCCGGAGGCGGCGGCGCUCGCCUACGACCAGGCGGCCUUCGCCAUGCGCGGCGGCGCCGCCGUCCUCAACUUCCCCGCGGACCAGGUCCGCCGCUCGCUGGAGGGCGCGGGGGAAGACGUGCGCGGCCGCGCCCACGGGGUGUCGCCCGUGCUGGCGCUCAAGCGGCGGCACUCCAUGCGGAGCCGAAAGGCCACGGCGUCGUCGCCGUGCCGCAAAAUAGCCAAGGCCGCCCGUGGGCGGCCGGAGGGCGUGGUGAUGGAGCUGGAGGACCUUGGCGCGGAGUACCUCGAGGAGCUGCUCGGCGCCGCCGACGACAUGACGGCCUCGGCUUCCGAUUCAUGGUGCUCGAGUCAUCAUUCCAUCUGA
RNAcentral lists this ribosomal RNA (738 nucleotides) under Triticum aestivum (bread wheat). RNAcentral describes it as "partial small subunit ribosomal RNA". Lineage: Eukaryota; Viridiplantae; Streptophyta; Magnoliopsida; Poales; Poaceae. The record is from RNAcentral.